Molecule: transfer RNA, 58 nt
Filed under: Tigriopus californicus
Lineage: Eukaryota; Metazoa; Arthropoda; Copepoda; Harpacticoida; Harpacticidae
Description: tRNA-Ser
Source: RNAcentral
AAAAUCUCAAAAAUUUUUAAUUUCUAAUUAAAAACAAGCAUAUAAGUGUUAGAUUUUU